GCCCUCGUAGCUCAGCAGGAUAGAGCGGCGCUUUCCUAAAGCGCAGGCCACAGGUUCGACUCCUGUCGGGGGUA
Molecule: transfer RNA, 74 nt
Filed under: Fuerstiella sp.
Lineage: Bacteria; Pseudomonadati; Planctomycetota; Planctomycetia; Planctomycetales; Planctomycetaceae
Also listed under: 3 other names
Rfam family: tRNA
About the family: Transfer RNA (tRNA) molecules are approximately 80 nucleotides in length. Their secondary structure includes four short double-helical elements and three loops (D, anti-codon, and T loops).
Source: Rfam by way of RNAcentral